RNAcentral lists this long non-coding RNA (363 nucleotides) under Gallus gallus (chicken). RNAcentral's name for it is "lncRNA (ENSGALG00010013978.1)". The record is from RNAcentral. Lineage: Eukaryota; Metazoa; Chordata; Aves; Galliformes; Phasianidae.
CUGAAGUUACAGCUGUAACUUGAAGCAACGAGUUGGGUGCUGAAGGGCAGUCAGUACUGCCAGGAAGGAUGAUCAUGGCCUCUUCUGAACAAAUGACAGGCUCCACAGCUACCUUUUUCUUUUUUCCUCUCUCUUUUUUUCCCUCUCUUGAAAAGGAAACAAUGGAAAACUGCCUCGGGCAAGUCAAGGACAGCCUACAGUUGUUGGAAAUGUUUUCUGGGGUCAUGUGGAUAUAUUCCCUCUCCUAAAAUUCUGGGGAAAAAUCAAUGCUGAAUAGGAUCAGGAUAAACAGCGAAAGUGAAGAAAUAUGACUGCAAAUUCCAUUGGACCCAAACCCCAAAACAAGAGUAUAUAUUCUUAACG